RNAcentral lists this ribosomal RNA (121 nucleotides) under Aneurinibacillus migulanus. RNAcentral's name for it is "partial 23S ribosomal RNA". It matches the Rfam family "Bacterial large subunit ribosomal RNA", at positions 15 to 135 of the family's 2925-position model. The record is from RNAcentral. Lineage: Bacteria; Bacillati; Bacillota; Bacilli; Caryophanales; Paenibacillaceae.
GGGCACACGGUGGAUGCCUUGGCGCCAGGAGCCGACGAAGGACGUAGCGAACGACGAAACGCUUCGGGGAGCUGUAAGCGAGCUUUGAUCCGGAGAUGUCCGAAUGGGGAAACCCACUAUC